ACCCUGCAAUUGUCCCACAACGGUACCUAUCUGGAUCUAGAAUCCACGCUAGCAGAACAGAGAGAUGAACUGGAAGGCUUCCAAGAGGAUGCUGGGAGGGGCAAGAAACACAGUAUAAUUCUGAGGACCCAGCUGUCGGUGAGAGUCCAUGCUUGCAUUGAAAAACUUUACAAUUCCAAUGGACGGGAGCUGAGACGGGCACUUUUCUCCUUGAAACAAAU
Molecule: long non-coding RNA, 221 nt
Filed under: Columba livia (rock pigeon)
Lineage: Eukaryota; Metazoa; Chordata; Aves; Columbiformes; Columbidae
Description: partial uncharacterized LOC102090957
Source: RNAcentral